Molecule: ribosomal RNA, 292 nt
Filed under: uncultured bacterium
Lineage: Bacteria
Description: partial 16S ribosomal RNA
Rfam family: Bacterial small subunit ribosomal RNA
Source: RNAcentral
GUGUCAGCAGCCGCGGUAAUACAGAGAGUGCGAACGUUGUUCGGAAUUACUGGGCUUAAAGCGCACGUAGGCGGUGCUGUAAGUGUCAGGUGAAAUCCCACGGCUCACCCGUGGAACUGCCUGGCAGACUGCAGUACUAGAGUGUGGUAGGGGAGAGCGGAACUCCUGGUGGAGCGGUGAAAUGCGUAGAUAUCAGGAGGAACACCGGUGGCGAAGGCGGCUCUCUGGUCCACAACUGACGCUGAGGUGCGAAAGCUAGGGGAGCAAACGGGAUUAGAAACCCGAGUAGUCC